CUAUUUUAGCUGUAAUCAAGCGGAAAUUAUAGUCAGCUCAGUAGUUACAAAGACUCAGCUGCAAGAACCCCAUUUCCCUUAAGCCUCUGAGGAAUCAUCUCGGGGGCACAAUGACAAGCUUUCCUUUUUCUGUUUUCUUUUCCUUGUCCCCCUGUGGCUUAUUUGAACUGGAAAUAAUCUUGAAAAAUAUCACGUCCUCUGUUCUGGAAUUGCUGGUGUCUGAUGGAACAUAUACCGCCACAUGAAUGCUUUUUGUCUUACAGGACUGUGAAGACAGGCACCCCACGACACCUACGGGAAACAUGGCUGAGGCCCGCUGGACACAGGAUCAGCAUCGCUCCUGGUGAUUUAGCUCACGCUAAACUGGCUGUGGCAGCUUGAUGGCCCACAGGUCAAAUCUGACCAAUAAAAAGUACUUUUCCAUCUGAA
Cavia porcellus (domestic guinea pig) is the source of this 429-nucleotide long non-coding RNA. RefSeq lists it as uncharacterized. The transcript is spliced from 3 exons. The record is from RefSeq and is a predicted model, not a curated record. NCBI's taxonomy places the organism in Eukaryota, Metazoa, Chordata, Mammalia, Rodentia, Caviidae.